This 497-nucleotide ribosomal RNA is filed under the name uncultured bacterium. RNAcentral's name for it is "partial 16S ribosomal RNA". It matches the Rfam family "Bacterial small subunit ribosomal RNA", at positions 28 to 507 of the family's 1533-position model. The record is from RNAcentral.
GAUGAACGCUGGCGGCGUGCCUAAUACAUGCAAGUCGAGCGAACAGACGAGGAGCUUGCUCCUCUGACGUUAGCCGCGGACGGGUGAGUAACACGUGUAUAACCUACUUAUAAGACUGGUAUAACUUCGGGAAACCGGAGCUAAUACCGGAUAAUAUAUUGAAGCGCAUGGUUCAAUAGUGAAAUACGGUUUUGCUGUCACUUAUAGAUGGAUCCGCGCCGCAUUAGCUAGUUGGUAAGGUAACGGCCUACCAAGGCAACGAUGCGUAGCCGACCUGAGAGGCGGAUAGGCGACACUGGAACUGAGACACGGUCCAGACUCCUAAGGGAGGCAGCAGUAGGGAACCUUACGCAGUAGGCGGGAGCCUGACAGAGCAACGCCGCGUGAGUGAUGAAGGUCUUCGGAUCGUAAAACUCGGUUAUGAGGGAAGAACAAAUGUGUAAGGAGCUAUGCACGUAUUGACGGUAACUAAUCAGGAAGCAACGGCUAACUACGUG